This 348-nucleotide ribosomal RNA is filed under the name uncultured bacterium. RNAcentral describes it as "bacterial SSU rRNA". It matches the Rfam family "Bacterial small subunit ribosomal RNA", at positions 917 to 1264 of the family's 1533-position model. The record is from RNAcentral.
GGGCCCGCACAAGCGGUGGAGCAUGUGGUUUAAUUCGAUGCAACGCGAAGAACCUUACCUACUCUUGAAAUCCAGAGAACUUUUCAGAGAUGAAUUGGUGCCUUCGGGAACUCUGAGACAGGUGCUGCAUGGCUGUCGUCAGCUCGUGUUGUGAAAUGUUGGGUUAAGUCCCGCAACGAGCGCAACCCUUAUCCUUGUUUGCCAGCGAGUAAUGUCGGGAACUCCAGGGAGACUGCCGGUGAUAAACCGGAGGAAGGUGGGGACGACGUCAAGUCAUCAUGGCCCUUACGAGUAGGGCUACACACGUGCUACAAUGGCGCAUACAGAGGGCAGCCAACUUGCGAAAGU